GUCUAUGGCCAUGCCACCCUGAACGUGCCCGAUCCUGUCUGAUCUUUUAAGUUAAGCAGGGUCGGGCCUGGUUAGUCCUUGGAUGGGAGACCACUUAGCAAUAGCAGGUGCUGUAGGCA
Molecule: ribosomal RNA, 119 nt
Filed under: Pteropus alecto (black flying fox)
Lineage: Eukaryota; Metazoa; Chordata; Mammalia; Chiroptera; Pteropodidae
Source: RNAcentral